GGACCCGCACAAGCGGUGGAGCAUGUGGUUUAAUUCGAAGCAACGCGAAGAACCUUACCAGAUCUUGACAUCCCUCUGAAUACAGCGUAAUGGCUGUAGCCCUUCGGGGCAGAGGAGACAGGUGGUGCAUGGUUGUCGUCAGCUCGUGUCGUGAGAUGUUGGGUCAAGUCCCGCAACGAGCGCAACCCUUAUUUCCAGUAGCCAGCAGUAAGAUGGGCACUCUGGAGAGACUGCCGGGGAUAACCCGGAGGAAGGCGGGGAUGACGUCAAAUCAUCAUGCCCCUUAUGACCUGGGCCACACACGUGCUACAAUGGCGUAAACAAAGGGAAGCGAGAGGGUAACCUGGAGCAAAUCCCAAAAAUAACGUCCCAGUUCGGACUGUAGUCUGCAACCCGACUACACGAAGCUGGAAUCGCUAGUAAUCGCGGAUCAGAAUGCCGCGGUGAAUACGUUCCCGGGUCUU
This 464-nucleotide ribosomal RNA is filed under the name uncultured bacterium. RNAcentral describes it as "bacterial SSU rRNA". It matches the Rfam family "Bacterial small subunit ribosomal RNA", at positions 917 to 1382 of the family's 1533-position model. The record is from RNAcentral.